Molecule: non-coding RNA, 4735 nt
Organism: Ictidomys tridecemlineatus (thirteen-lined ground squirrel)
Lineage: Eukaryota; Metazoa; Chordata; Mammalia; Rodentia; Sciuridae
Source: RefSeq, a predicted model, not a curated record
UCCAGGCCAGUCAGUGAGCCGUUCCCACCAGAGCCUUAGAAAGUGAACGGGGAUAUGAUGGCAAGGGAGCCAUUUUUUUUCUUUUCAUGGAAUUCUGGGUACUGAGGUGAAUUUAGGCUUGCAGCUUUGCAGUAGCUGGGAGUCCAACUCUUUGAUGACAGAGGCCAAGAGUGAUUUCUUUGUGUAAAGAAUCUUGAGAAAGUAGAAGCCUUUGAAGAUGCUAAUUAGGGCAGAGGAGGACCCUCAGCCUGCUGAUCUUGGAUAGGAAGAUGCAGCCAUUCCUUCUUCUGGAGAGCCUCUGAAGCUCAGAGAAGAGUUGUGUGUGGCAAACAAUCGUCCCACACAGUGUGCCCUCGUUCCUCCUAAAAAACCCACUCGCAUUUAUUGUACUGACAGAGUUUCAGCUUUAUUCUGGGACUCUUCCUCCCUCAGAGUUGAAUUCUCCUCUGCUCAGCUCCUCCUUCACGCUCCUCCAUCUGCUUUGUGUGUUACAAGACACUGAAAUCCUAAAUAAUCUGAUGUGUCUCUCUUGGAUUCUCUGUAGACAGAAGAGAUAAACCUGAGAGUGGAGUCACUUUAGACUAGAAGCCCUAGGUCCUUUGGUUUUUUAAAAUGCCUCUUUAAUGUGCUCAAAAGUACACAGCCAGCCAUGACACAUGACAGCUUCUCUAGACCAUGCAGUCCCCAUGUUCUAUAAUUCUCUUUGUCAUUUGGUCCAACAUGAUCCUGGGGCCACUGGCUAGAGCUCUUGAUCAGAAGGACAAGAAGACAUCUCUACUGCUUGUCAAAGAACGAUGGAGAGGUAUCCCAGGUUAGGGCUUGGAGGAGGAAGCAGGUGAGUAGGAUACAGGAACAGCAGUCUACUCAGCUGAUGCUGAGAGCCUGUGUUGGUAGUGCAAGGAGCUGAGCGAUCGCCAGUGUGGGGCUCAAAGAGUGUAUCAGGUGAUAGAAGACAUCAGGUCUGUUAGAAACUUAAGCAAAAGUCCUUCUGAUGAGGGGAAGUUUGAGGCAGAAAAUAAUGUCGUCAGCAGUGUCAGUGGCACCCACAGAGGACAGUGACAGAUUGCACAGGCCCCCUCUCACAUUUCUGAACUCAUGGAAGCAACAAGCAAUGUGGAUACAUGAAAGCCACAGCUUGCCCAUGAGUUUCGACUUCCUUUCUCAAAGACUUUCUGCUGGAGCUUGCACACUGGGCAUGUCACCUCUUUGUCCUUCCCUUCCCAGCCUGCUGUAAGAGACUGGUAGGGCUGUAGAAGCACAUCCCUGGAGAGAGACCCCCAAGUUGUGUCAUUGACUUUUGCACAUCAGGGACAGAACCAGGCUGCUUCCCACAGUUCAGUUCCAUUCCUGAUGUAAUGUCCCCUCACUGCCUCCUCUGCAGCCCAGGUGGGUCACUCAGCAGUAACAUACGGAGCUCUUAGGAAGCACAGCAGCCUGCUGGCCCUCUGCAUGCUGAGCAGCCCUUUCCCACAGGCCUCUGGCUGUGCCUCUAGAAGGCAGCUGGACUUGACCCCCCUGCACAGAGGAAUCCUAUCUGCCUUAGCAGGUUUACACAGUUGCUUUUUUCAUUAUUUCCUCUGGGCUCCUCCUUUGAGAAGAUUUAAAACAGGUGCUUUUCCCCCUCCUUCUUGACUCCUGGCAGCCACCAACACCAUUCAGAAUCUGUCUCUUGGAAUUCCCGAGGCAUAUUUGUGAUGCUCUCAACUGUGGCUGAAUUUUCUGCUUUCUCAGGGUCCUGUCUCUCUGUCUGUAUGUGUCUCUGUCUCUACCAUAUUUUUGGUCGGCUGUCCCCAAGUUCUCACAGCCCUCUGGGUUUAAGACAGUAGCCUGUUAUAUCCAUCCUGUGCUCAGCAACAGAAUGGGAAGUUUAUUCCCUCAAAAAGCGCACAAAAAGCUUUCAAAGUCCCCUGAAUAAAAAUACCCCGUUACCACUUCCUUUGGAACAGAGGAGCUGUUUCUACCCUGAGGCCCCUCUUCCUUUAGGGCAAGCCCCAUAGCAGACAGGCAAUCACUCAUUUAUGAAAAUGAAAGAUUCAUGAGGGACGGUGCUGGGCUGCCAGCAGAGUUUAGGCAGAUUCUGAUCCUGCUUUAAUUUAAUUAAGCCCUGUUUAUUUAAUCAGCCCAGAGAUAUGUAUCCUCGGGCAGGAAUUUGCUGCCUGUUUCUGAGCUGUGCUUUUGUCUGUGGGAGGAUGAAAGCGGCGAUCUGCCUGGUAGUUUUUAAGGGUUUGGGGCCCAAGAGACAGCCUGGUGGUCUGGAGUCAGGCCAGGCACUGUGGGGACAGUGUAUUCAGCAGCUGUGCCUGUGUAUGUGUGUGUGUGUGUGUGCAGGUGUGAAGUGUGGUCAUGCAUGUGUGUGUGUGUGUGUGUGUGUGUGUGUGUGUGUGUGUGUGUGUGUGUGCAUGCAGACUCCUGAUGCUCAGAGCCCUAGAGUCUGGUUCUUGGGCAAGACUAUCAGAGAAGCCUGAUCUGCCACCAGUCUGCAUUCUUAGCCACCAUGAGAGGAAAGAAUUAGGGAAACAAGGUCACACUGUUGCUUAAGGACAGUGUUGCUCAGAGCAUGCUCCAGCAAUCCUGUGGGUGUCAGUGAAGCACACUGAUGCCCAGGUCUCACACCCAGACUUGCUGAAUCACAGUCAAGUUUAAGAACCACUGCAUUCUCAAGUGUUGUUAACUGCAGCAGAAUCUACAUUUUCAGGAUGGAGGUGGGGCAGGCAGAGGACAAUGAUGGAAAUCCACCUGGGGGAAACAUUAUGGGGGAAUCAUUAUGGUGGGAACACAUUCGGACAUAGAGGUGUUUUCUGGAGCCUCCAGAAUCCCUCCAUUUAGAGGAUAGCCUCUGUCUUCCAUGUCCAAGGGCAGAUCUGAGGGGAACAGCUGUGGUGGUGGUAGUAGCUGCCUAAGCCCUGCACCUGGAUCUGCACAGUGCUCGGCGUGAGCUGCCCGUCAGGGCCAUUGACAGUAAGGCAGAGCCAGGGUCCAGGCCAGACUGUCAUAGGUGACUGGAGAAAACUGAUGUUAGAGAACUUUCAAAGGACGAAUGCCAGGAUUUGUUGACCUUUUAAAGAAAAUGGGAAUGAAAAGAAUGAGAAGAGAAAGGAACCCCAACUUCAGGGGCAAAAAAAAUACAUUUGGCUCUAAUAAUGUGGGAAUCAGUUUUGGAGGGUCACUCCUUUGCUGAGCUCUCCCAAUUCCUCUGCUUUUUCAGCCUCUGUCAUCUCUUCUUAAGAGAGCACAUCUGUUCAUGUCGUUUUAAAAAGCAGAGUCGUGUUUGUGCAGCUGAUUGGCUCUCAUCUUUGUAGGAGGGCAGCUCUGCUUGUUUCUAAAGACCUAGUCAGCUGCACAUUGAGAAUUCACCAUAAUAUCAAACCAAUCCUGUUGCAAACCAAAUCACAAGCUCUGCAGCCAGGUCUUCUUCUGUUCUGUGGUCUAUGAACUGGUAGGGAGGAGAAGGACCAGGGAAGAACAGGGACUUAAGGGACAACCAAAGGCAAUUUCUAGGGUCCAGGGAAAGAGCCCUGAGGAGCCGUGAUAGAUCUAGAUCUCCUUCUCUCAUCAUGGAAGGUCUGUGUUCGAAGUGAGUGAGGAUACACAUCUCAUGUGUGUAUGUUUUUGUGUUAGGAAUGAACCAGAAACUCUUUCCCGGAAUGAAUCAUGCUUAAAUAAUACUUAAGAGACCCUGUUUUUGGCUAUCAUCAGUUGGCAGUUGUGGCCGUCAGCCUCCAAGAUGAUCACCAAAUCCUGGCCUCCUGGUAUUCAUACUUUUGUAUAGUUACUUUCCCUAGUGAACAGGGCUGACCUCUGUUACCAAGUGGAUAUUGCAGGAAGAGUUGGGUAUGACUGCGAGCCCAGCUCAUGAGAGGCAUGGUGACUUCCCCCUUGUUUCUGGGAUGGCUCCUUCUGGGAGAAGCCUUGGGAGGAGAAGUCAUAAGCACAGUCAACCAGUACCAUGGAGAGGUCCACGUGAGGAGAAGCUGAGGCCUCCCUCCAACAGCCAAGUGAAUGGUGAACCAUCUUGGAAGCGGGUCCUCCAGCCCCUACAAAGCCUUCAGGUGACCGAAGGCCAGGCUAACCCCUUGACACAGUAUGAUAAAGACCUUAAAGAAGAACCAUCAGCUCAGAAUGCUCCUGUAUUCAUGACCUACAGAAACUAUGAAGUAAUAAAUGCUUAUGAUUUUACACUGUUUCAGAAUAACUUGUUAUAUAUCAAUUGAUAACUGAGACAGAAAUACUAAAAUAAAAUGCUAAUGAAAUCUGAUAUCCAAACCAAAUCAUAAAAUGUUUGUGGAUGUGCAGUGUUAUGUUUAUUUAUACAACAAGAGUAAUCCUAUGUUUUUCUGAUCUUUUGCUCAAGCCAGGGCCUAAUGCCCCCCUCUUCUUGAGUUAGUUCAGUGUGAGGACAACUCAUUUCAUAGUCAAAGUCUCUGAGAGCAGAGGAGAUGUACCAGAUUCAUUACGUACUGGUUUGUAAUACAGUGUAGCUUAACACUUUCACUCUAGUGCCCCAGCCCAAAAUCCUCCUAGGUCUGAGAAGGAUCACAGAUAAGCAGUCAAAUAGGAGUCAUCCGUUGAUCUAGAAGGUGAGUACCCCUUCUCCUUUUCUUGUUUUGCUGAAUAACUUAGUAGUGGAGAGGAAUAGUAGAGAGAAUACUGAAAUCCACUUUAAAUUUUUAAAAAAUCUUUUUAAAAAUUGACAAAUAAUAAUUAUACAUAUUUAUGGGAUAUAGUAUCAUGUUUU